RNAcentral lists this ribosomal RNA (253 nucleotides) under uncultured bacterium. RNAcentral describes it as "partial 16S ribosomal RNA". It matches the Rfam family "Bacterial small subunit ribosomal RNA", at positions 524 to 776 of the family's 1533-position model. The record is from RNAcentral.
UACGUAGGAGGCAAGCGUUGUCCGGAAUUACUGGGUGUAAAGCGCGUGUAGGCGGCAGGCCAAGUCUGUGGUGAAAUCGCUCGGCUCAACUGGGCGGGGUCCAUGGAAACUGGUCAGCUGGAGGACGGUAGAGGUGAGUGGAAUUCCCGGUGUAGUGGUGAAAUGCGUAGAGAUCGGGAGGAACACCAGUGGCGAAGGCGGGUCUCUGGGCCGUAACUGACGCUGAGGAGCGAAAGCGUGGGGAGCGAACAGG